AAUCAACGCUGGCGGCGUGCCUAACACAUGCAAGUCGAACGGGAAAGCGGGCUUCGGCCUGUGAGUAGAGUGGCGGACGGGUGAGUAACACGUGGGUAACCUGCCCGGCUGAGGGGGAUAACUUUCCGAAAGGGGAGCUAAUACCGCAUAAGCUCUCGGGAGCGAUUUCGAGAGGAAAGCCGCAAGGCGCAGUCGGAGGGGCUCGCGCUCGAUUAGCUAGUUGGUGGGGUAAGGGCUCACCAAGGCGACGAUCGAUAGCCGGUCUGAGAGGACGGACGGCCACACUGGAACUGAGACACGGUCCAGACUCCUACGGGAGGCAGCAGUGGGGAAUUUUGCGCAAUGGGCGAAAGCCUGACGCAGCAACGCCGCGUGGAGGAUGAAGGUCUUCGGAUCGUAAACUCCUGUCCUCGGGGAAAAAGGAAGUGAUGGUACCCGGGGACGGGAAGGCCCGGCGUAACUCCGUGCCAGCAGCCGCGGUAAUCACAGAGUA
RNAcentral lists this ribosomal RNA (493 nucleotides) under uncultured bacterium. RNAcentral's name for it is "bacterial SSU rRNA". It matches the Rfam family "Bacterial small subunit ribosomal RNA", at positions 29 to 532 of the family's 1533-position model. The record is from RNAcentral.